AGCUUGAAGCUGUCUUCACCAUGGCUUGGUCUCCACUUUUCUUAAUCCUGCUUGUUCACUGCACAGGUUCUUUGGCUGAGGUUGUGUUCACUCAGCCCCAACAUGUGUCAGGGUCUCUAGGGCAGAAGGUCACCAUUUCCUGCACCCGUAGUAGUGGAGACAUUGGGAAUAACUAUGUGUACUGGUACCAGCAGCACCUGGGAAGUCCCCCCAGUCUCCUGAUUUAYAAGUAUGAUCAAAGACCCUCUGGGAUUCCAGACCGGUUUUCUGGCUCUAAAGACAGCUCCUCCAAUUCUGCCUCCCUGACCAUCACUGGACUGCAGCCUGAGGAUGAGGCUGACUACCACUGUCUGUCUGGUUAUGACAGCUAUUACUCACAGUGA
Non-coding RNA from Urocitellus parryii (Arctic ground squirrel), 383 nucleotides. Lineage: Eukaryota; Metazoa; Chordata; Mammalia; Rodentia; Sciuridae. The record is from the annotation of a RefSeq genome assembly.